GUGGGGAAUAUUGGACAAUGGGCGAAAGCCUGAUCCAGCCAUGCCGCGUGUGUGAAGAAGGUCUUCGGGUUGUAAAGCACUUUUGUUGGGAAAGAAAUCCUGUCGGCUAAUACCCGGCGGGGAUGACGGUACCCAAAGAAUAAGCACCGGCUAACUUCGUGCCAGCAGCCGCGGUAAUACGAAGGGUGCAAGCGUUAUCCGGAAUCACUGGGUUUAAAGGGUACGUAGGCGGUUAAUUAAGUUAGUAGUGAAAGACUGUCGCUCAACGACGGAUGUGCUAUUGAUACUGGUUAACUUGAAUCAUGAUAGAGUUGUCGGAAUGGGUCAUGUAGCGGUGAAAUGCUUAGAUAUGACUUGGAACACCGAUAGCGAAGGCAGCUGACUGAGCCUUGAUUGACGCUGAGGUACGAAAGUGUGGGUAGCGAACAGGAUUAGAAACCCGUGUAGUCC
This 450-nucleotide ribosomal RNA is filed under the name uncultured bacterium. Its description in RNAcentral is "partial 16S ribosomal RNA". It matches the Rfam family "Bacterial small subunit ribosomal RNA", at positions 354 to 796 of the family's 1533-position model. The record is from RNAcentral.